AAGGUUUUAAGUUAAAUAAACUAAUAGUUUUCAAAUCUAUUAAUAUAAGUAUAAAUCUUUUAAACCUUA
Molecule: transfer RNA, 69 nt
Filed under: Chrysops silvifacies
Lineage: Eukaryota; Metazoa; Arthropoda; Insecta; Diptera; Tabanidae
Description: tRNA-Trp
Rfam family: tRNA
About the family: Transfer RNA (tRNA) molecules are approximately 80 nucleotides in length. Their secondary structure includes four short double-helical elements and three loops (D, anti-codon, and T loops). Further hydrogen bonds mediate the characteristic L-shaped molecular structure. tRNAs have two regions of fundamental functional importance: the anti-codon, which is responsible for specific mRNA codon recognition, and the 3' end, to which the tRNAs corresponding amino acid is attached (by aminoacyl-tRNA synthetases). tRNAs cope with the degeneracy of the genetic code in two manners: having more than one tRNA (with a specific anti-codon) for a particular amino acid; and 'wobble' base-pairing, i.e. permitting non-standard base-pairing at the 3rd anti-codon position.
Source: RNAcentral